Molecule: ribosomal RNA, 497 nt
Filed under: uncultured bacterium
Lineage: Bacteria
Description: partial 16S ribosomal RNA
Rfam family: Bacterial small subunit ribosomal RNA
Source: RNAcentral
GAUGAACGCUGGCGGCGUGCCUAAUACAUGCCAGUCGAGCGAACGGACGAGAAGCUUGCUUCUCUGAUGUUAGCGGCGGACGGGUGAGUAACACGUGGAUAACCUACCUAUAAGACUGGGAUAACUUCGGGAAACCGGAGCUAAUACCGGAUGAUAUUUUGAACCGCAUGGUUCAAAAGUGAAAGACGGUCUUGCUGUCACUUAUAGAUGGUUCCGCGCUGCAUUAGCUAGUUGGUAAGGUAACGGCUUACCAAGGCAACGAUGCAUAGCCGACCUGAGAGGGUGAUCGGCCACACUGGACCGGAAACACGGUCCAGACUACUACGGGAGGCAGCAGUAGGGAAUCUUCCGCAAUGGGCGAAAGCCUGACGGAGCAACGCCGCGUGAGUGAUGAAGGUCUUCGGAUCGUAAAACUCUGUUAUUAGGGAAGAACAUAUGUGUAAGUAACUGUGCACAUCUUGACGGUACCUAAUCAGAAAGCCACGGCUAACUACGUG